This 1290-nucleotide ribosomal RNA is filed under the name Cladonia rangiformis. RNAcentral describes it as "LSU rRNA". It matches the Rfam family "Eukaryotic large subunit ribosomal RNA", at positions 74 to 1104 of the family's 3401-position model. Lineage: Eukaryota; Fungi; Ascomycota; Lecanoromycetes; Lecanorales; Cladoniaceae. The record is from RNAcentral.
AUUGCCUCAGUAACGGCGAGUGAAGCGGCAACAGCUCAAAUUUGAAAUCUGGUCCUUUCAGGGCCCGAGUUGUAAUUUGUAGAGGAUGUUUCGGGUGCGGUGCGGGUCUAAGUCCUUUGGAACAGGGCGUCAUAGAGGGUGAGAAUCCCGUAUGUGACCCGUAACCAACCCCAUGUGAAACCCCUUCGACGAGUCGAGUUGUUUGGGAAUGCAGCUCAAAAUGGGUGGUAAAUUUCAUCUAAAGCUAAAUACUGGCCAGAGACCGAUAGCGCACAAGUAGAGUGAUCGAAAGAUGAAAAGCACUUUGGAAAGAGAGUCAAAAAGUACGUGAAAUUGUUGAAAGGGAAGCGCUUGCAACCAGACCUGUCCGCAGGCGAUCAACUCCCGUUCGCGGGGGUGCACUCGUCUGUGAUCAGGCCAGCAUCGGUUCGGGCGGUCGGAUAAAGGCCUUGGGAAUGUAGCUCCUUCCGGGGAGUGUUAUAGCCCUCGGUGCAAUGCGGCCAGCCCGGACCGAGGACCGCGCCUUCGGGCUAGGAUGCUGGCGUAAUGGUUGUAAGCGACCCGUCUUGAAACACGGACCAAGGAGUCUAACAUCUAUGCAAGUGUUUGGGUGUCAAACCCAUACGCGUAAUGAAAGUGAACGGAGGUGAGAACCCUUUAAGGGCGCAUCAUCGACCGAUCCAGAUGUCUUCGGAUGGAUUUGAGUACGAGCAUAGCUGUUGGGACCCGAAAGAUGGUGAACUAUGCCUGAAUAGGGUGAAGCCAGGGGAAACCCUGGUGGAGGCUCGCAGCGGUUCUGACGUGCAAAUCGAUCGUCAAAUUUGGGUAUAGGGGCGAAAGACUAAUCGAACCAUCCCUCCCGUGGGCUUCCCUUAAAUUUUAGGGUGCUACUGGUGGUUAAUCGGAGUAGAAUUAAUAUUUCUACCCUCAGUCCUUCGGGGCAACAUCACUACUUGCAUGGACCUCCGGAAAAAGUCUUUAGGGGCUUCCAAGGAGCAAUAUGCUGCAGAUUGACCCCCCCCGUGGUAUAUCUGUUCACAGACCAAAUAGUGGUGGCCGGGGUCUUCUCUAGGGAGGCUUUGGUUCAGAUAUGGCCGAGUCGCUCCUUCCUUCAAGGAGUCGGUAUCAACGCUAGUAGCUGGUUCCUGCCGAAGUUUCCCUCAGGAUAGCAGUAACGUUUUCAGUUUUAUGAGGUAAAGCGAAUGAUUAGAGGCCUUGGGGUUGAAACAACCUUAACCUAUUCUCAAACUUUAAAUAUGUAAGAAGUCCUUGUUACUUAGUUGAACGUGG